CCUACGGGUGGCUGCAGUGAGGAAUAUUGGUCAAUGGCCGCGAGGCUGAACCAGCCAAGCCGCGUGAGGGAUGACGGUCCUAUGGGUUGUAAACUUCUUUUGUACGGGGGCAAAGUCACACACGUGUGGCGGUUUGAGAGUACCGGAAGAAAAAGCAUCGGCUAACUCCGUGCCAGCAGCCGCGGUAAUACGGAGGAUGCGAGCGUUAUCCGGAUUUAUUGGGUUUAAAGGGUGCGUAGGCGGGUUAUUAAGUCAGCGGUAAAAUCGUGGGGCUCAACCCCAUCCAGCCGUUGAAACUGAUGAUCUUGAGAGGGCGAGAAGUAUGCGGAAUGCGUGGUGUAGCGGUGAAAUGCAUAGAGAUCACGCAGAACUCCGAUUGCGAAGGCAGCAUACCGGCG
Molecule: ribosomal RNA, 398 nt
Filed under: uncultured bacterium
Lineage: Bacteria
Description: partial 16S ribosomal RNA
Rfam family: Bacterial small subunit ribosomal RNA
Source: RNAcentral